Molecule: long non-coding RNA, 1327 nt
Organism: Anas platyrhynchos (mallard)
Lineage: Eukaryota; Metazoa; Chordata; Aves; Anseriformes; Anatidae
Source: RefSeq, a predicted model, not a curated record
UGUGUGGAGCCCCUGCUGUGGGAGAGGAAGGGAAGUGGCCAGGGCCAGAGCUGGGGCUAGGGCCAGGACCUCUCUGAGGGACUUUGGCCUAUGGGUGGCCAUGCUGGGGCAGGGCAGGGGCAAUAAGGAACCAUGCAGUCUCCAAAUCAGUGAGAAAAUGACUGGGGUGAUCUGAAGAAGCCACGCUGCGCCUCUUUCAGGUAGAACAGCCAGACGCUGAGAUGCUGAAGAAGCCAGACGCUGAGAUGCUGAAGAAGCAGAGCUGCUCGGGCUCUUCCUGCAGGACCCAGUGCUUCCCGCCUGCGCCUAGCACCAUCUAGCGAGCCCGAGGGGAAGCUCCCGGCCCGCCGGCCUCCGACCCCUCAUGGGUCUACCUUCACUGUCGGGAUGAAGCUGGUAAAAGGAGAGCACUAAGAAUAACCUCUCAGUCCUCUUCAGCCCUCAGAAACAUUUGGGGAGCUCUGCCACUUCCCCUGAAGCUUGAGUUUAGCAGGAAGACCGGUGAAGGGCUUUUCUUGUCAAUCAUACACUUUUAUCCAGGAUAAGGAGCAGGGCAUACGUGUUAUGACAGCGAUGUGGCUAUCAAGAUGUUACUUGGAUGUUGCAAAAAAAAUUUCUUAACUCUACAUGAGCUAGCUCGACUGGUUCUCCUUUCAUUAAUGCUAAUAAGAGUAAAAAUUAAAAAUUAAUUAGAGUAAAAAUUUUUAAUCUGUUAUUAUAACCUAUUUUUAGAAAUUAAUGUGUAUUCUUCUCACCAGUCAAAAUGAAAAGUACGUUGUAAGAUACUUUGAUUAUCUAGCCUUUUUCUGGGAAACAUGACUUUGUUUGUCUCUUAGACAGUGGUUACAAAGAGCAGUCAGAAAAUACUAUAUCAUUAUUGUAAUAGUUGUCACCACAAUUACAAUACACUUCAAACUACAGCAGUUUAUGAAGUUAGGUACAUUUCUCUGGGUUACAUACAGAUGUAGAAAAAAGCUUCAUAUUCAGUCAGUUUCAGAUCAGAAAACAACUUUCAAAUCUUUCAGCUCUUAACUCUGGUCUUCUAAUAAUCUUCUAAUAAAAGUCAGAGUUAAGAAGAGGAAGGGUAGAAAUCGGUAGAUUGGUGCAAAGACAAUGCAAUAUUUGUUUCAUGAGUUCCAUUAACUGGAGGCUAUUCAGAGGAGGGUUAUUUGUGAUCUUAGGGGUCUUACUACAAUUCUAUGUUGAUUUCUGCUGAUAUCCUUGUUGGGAACAUAUUUCCAUCUUGUUCUGUGUUCUAUUUCCUUCCGUUCUCUUUGCAACAUUCUGUAAGCAGUAUUAAUUAUGGAGACCUGAGGAUCACCUGGAU